GGAACGGGUGGAUUUAUUAGAACAGAACCAACCGGUUGUGGCUUUUGUCGCAGCCGUUGUACUCUGUGAUGACUCUGGAUAACUUUACUGAUCGCAGUCGGCCUUGUGUCGGCGACGGAUCCUUCAAAUGUCUGCCCUAUCAAUUGUCGAUGGUAGGUGAUCUGCCUACCAUGGUGAUAACGGGUAACGGGGAAUCAGGGUUCGAUUCCGGAGAGGGAGCCUGAGAAACGGCUACCACUUCUAAGGAAGGCAGCAGGCACGCAAAUUACCCAAUCCCGGCACGGGGAGGUAGUGACGAUAAAUACGGAUACGG
This 313-nucleotide ribosomal RNA is filed under the name Solenorchis travassosi. Its description in RNAcentral is "SSU rRNA". It matches the Rfam family "Eukaryotic small subunit ribosomal RNA", at positions 194 to 488 of the family's 1831-position model. Lineage: Eukaryota; Metazoa; Platyhelminthes; Trematoda; Plagiorchiida; Cladorchiidae. The record is from RNAcentral.